This 789-nucleotide ribosomal RNA is filed under the name Salmonella enterica. RNAcentral's name for it is "partial 23S ribosomal RNA". It matches the Rfam family "Bacterial large subunit ribosomal RNA", at positions 403 to 1191 of the family's 2925-position model. Lineage: Bacteria; Pseudomonadati; Pseudomonadota; Gammaproteobacteria; Enterobacterales; Enterobacteriaceae. The record is from RNAcentral.
GCUCGAUGAGUAGGGCGGGACACGUGGUAUCCUGUCUGAAUAUGGGGGGACCAUCCUCCAAGGCUAAAUACUCCUGACUGACCGAUAGUGAACCAGUACCGUGAGGGAAAGGCGAAAAGAACCCCGGCGAGGGGAGUGAAAAAGAACCUGAAACCGUGUACGUACAAGCAGUGGGAGCACAGGUUUACCUGUGUGACUGCGUACCUUUUGUAUAAUGGGUCAGCGACUUAUAUUCUGUAGCAAGGUUAACCGUAUAGGGGAGCCGGAGGGAAACCGAGUCUUAAUUGGGCGUUAAGUUGCAGGGUAUAGACCCGAAACCCGGUGAUCUAGCCAUGGGCAGGUUGAAGGUUGGGUAACACUAACUGGAGGACCGAACCGACUAAUGUUGAAAAAUUAGCGGAUGACCUGUGGCUGGGGGUGAAAGGCCAAUCAAACCGGGAGAUAGCUGGUUCUCCCCGAAAGCUAUUUAGGUAGCGCCUCGUGAAUUCAUCUCCGGGGGUAGAGCACUGUUUCGGCUAGGGGGCCAUCCCGGCUUACCAACCCGAUGCAAACUGCGAAUACCGGAGAAUGUUAUCACGGGAGACACACGGCGGGUGCUAACGUCCGUCGUGAAGAGGGAAACAACCCAGACCGCCAGCUAAGGUCCCAAAGUCAUGGUUAAGUGGGAAACGAUGUGGGAAGGCCCAGACAGCCAGGAUGUUGGCUUAGAAGCAGCCAUCAUUUAAAGAAAGCGUAAUAGCUCACUGGUCGAGUCGGCCUGCGCGGAAGAUGUAACGGGGCUAAACCAUG